RNAcentral lists this ribosomal RNA (1346 nucleotides) under uncultured bacterium. RNAcentral describes it as "partial 16S ribosomal RNA". It matches the Rfam family "Bacterial small subunit ribosomal RNA", at positions 28 to 1381 of the family's 1533-position model. The record is from RNAcentral.
GACGAACGCUUGCGGCGUGCUUAACACAUGCAAGUCGAACGGAAAGGCCCUGCUUUUGUGGGGUGCUCGAGUGGCGAACGGGUGAGUAACACGUGAGUAACCUGCCCUUGACUUUGGGAUAACUUCAGGAAACUGGGGCUAAUACCGGAUAGGAGCUCCUGCUGCAUGGUGGGGGUUGGAAAGUUUCGGCGGUUGGGGAUGGACUCGCGGCUUAUCAGCUUGUUGGUGGGGUAGUGGCUUACCAAGGCUUUGGCGGGUAGCCGGCCUGAGAGGGUGACCGGCCACAUUGGGACUGAGAUACGGCCCAGACUCCUACGGGAGGCAGCAGUGGGGAAUAUUGCACAAUGGGCGGAAGCCUGAUGCAGCAACGCCGCGUGCGGGAUGACGGCCUUCGGGUUGUAAACCGCUUUCGCCUGUGACGAAGCGUGAGUGACGGUAAGGGGUAAAGAAGCACCGGCUAACUACGUGCCAGCAGCCGCGGUGAUACGUAGGGUGCGAGCGUUGUCCGGAUUUAUUGGGCGUAAAGGGCUCGUAGGUGGUUGAUCGCGUCGGAAGUGUAAUCUUGGGGCUUAACCCUGAGCGUGCUUUCGAUACGGGUUGACUUGAGGAAGGUAGGGGAGAAUGGAAUUCCUGGUGGAGCGGUGGAAUGCGCAGAUAUCAGGAGGAACACCAGUGGCGAAGGCGGUUCUCUGGGCCUUUCCUGACGCUGAGGAGCGAAAGCGUGGGGAGCGAACAGGCUUAGAUACCCUGGUAGUCCACGCUGUAAACGGUGGGUACUAGGUGUGGGGUCCAUUCCACGGGUUCCGUGCCGUAGCUAACGCUUUAAGUACCCCGCCUGGGGAGUACGGCCGCAAGGCUAAAACUCAAAGGAAUUGACGGGGCCCCGCACAAGCGGCGGAGCAUGCGGAUUAAUUCGAUGCAACGCGUAGAACCUUACCUGGGUUUGACAUGGAUCGGGAGUGCUCAGAGAUGGGUGUGCCUCUUUUGGGGUCGGUUCACAGGUGGUGCAUGCCUGUCGUCAGCUCGUGUCGUGAGAUGUUGGGUUAAGUCCCGCAACGAGCGCAACCCUUGUUCACUGUUGCCAGCACGUUAUGGUGGGGACUCAGUGGAGACCGCCGGGGUCAACUCGGAGGAAGGUGGGGAUGACGUCAAGUCAUCAUGCCCCUUAUGUCCAGGGCUUCACGCAUGCUACAAUGGCUGGUACAGAGAGUGGCGAGCCUGUGAGGGUGAGCGAAUCUCGGAAAGCCGGUCUCAGUUCGGAUUGGGGUCUGCAACUCGACCUCAUGAAGUCGGAGUCGCUAGUAAUCGCAGAUCAGCAACGCUGCGGUGAAUACGUUCCCGGGGCU